RNAcentral lists this ribosomal RNA (388 nucleotides) under uncultured eukaryote. Its description in RNAcentral is "partial 18S ribosomal RNA". It matches the Rfam family "Eukaryotic small subunit ribosomal RNA", at positions 592 to 976 of the family's 1831-position model. The record is from RNAcentral.
CAAUAGCGUAUAUUAAAGUUGUUGCAGUUAAAAAGCUCGCAGUUGGAUUUCUGAUCGAGACAUCAGGUCGGGUCCGAGAGGAUCAUGUACUUUGAUUUUGUUUUGAUCAUCCUUGGGGAGAGCAUUUCUGGCAUUCAGUUGUCGGGAUUGGGAUCCUCAUCGUUUACUGUGAAAAAAUUAGAGUGUUCAAAGCAGGCCUCGGCCUCUGAAUACAUUAGCAUGGAAUAAUAAGAUAGGACUUUGGUGGUCUAUUUUGUUGGUUUGCACGCCAAAGUAAUGAUUAAUAGGGAUAGUUGGGGGUAUUCGUAUUCAAUUGUCAGAGGUGAAAUUCUUGGAUUUAUGGAAGACGAACUACUGCGAAAGCAUUUACCAAGGAUGUUUUCAUUAA